This 579-nucleotide ribosomal RNA is filed under the name uncultured bacterium. RNAcentral's name for it is "partial 16S ribosomal RNA". It matches the Rfam family "Bacterial small subunit ribosomal RNA", at positions 355 to 932 of the family's 1533-position model. The record is from RNAcentral.
UGGGGAAUUUUGGACAAUGGGCGAAAGCCUGAUCCAGCAAUGCCGCGUGUGUGAAGAAGGCCUUCGGGUUGUAAAGCACUUUUGUCCGGAAAGAAAUCCUUGGCUCUAAUACAGUCGGGGGAUGACGGUACCGGAAGAAUAAGCACCGGCUAACUACGUGCCAGCAGCCGCGGUAAUACGUAGGGUGCAAGCGUUAAUCGGAAUUACUGGGCGUAAAGCGUGCGCAGGCGGUUUGCUAAGACCGAUGUGAAAUCCCCGGGCUCAACCUGGGAACUGCAUUGGUGACUGGCAGGCUAGAGUAUGGCAGAGGGGGGUAGAAUUCCACGUGUAGCAGUGAAAUGCGUAGAGAUGUGGAGGAAUACCGAUGGCGAAGGCAGCCCCCUGGGCCAAUACUGACGCUCAUGCACGAAAGCGUGGGGAGCAAACAGGAUUAGAUACCCUGGUAGUCCACGCCCUAAACGAUGUCAACUAGUUGUUGGGGAUUCAUUUCCUUAGUAAUGUAGCUAACGCGUGAAGUUGACCGCCUGGGGAGUACGGUCGCAAGAUUAAAACUCAAAGGAAUUGACGGGGUCAUAGCUG